RNAcentral lists this long non-coding RNA (266 nucleotides) under Elaeis guineensis (African oil palm). Its description in RNAcentral is "long non-coding RNA (EGUI_LNC062454)". Lineage: Eukaryota; Viridiplantae; Streptophyta; Magnoliopsida; Arecales; Arecaceae. The record is from RNAcentral.
UACUAUCCACAAGGAUAGCAUUAUUUAAGUAUGAUCAUAUGGGAUUGAAGGGUUAACUUAAUUUGAACACUAUAGUUUGUUGUGCUAUCUACAAGAUUAUAAGUGAUCUAGAGGCAAGAGAAAAAUAUGUUGAGAGUUGUAUGAAGUACAAUUGCUAAAGAGUUACCUAAUCUUGAACUCAUGAAUGCUUGUUGUGCUAUCCACAAGGUGUUUGUGAGGAAUAGAGAUCUCAACUCUACUUAGAAAUAUAAAGAUGUUUCUCAUUU